GUACUUGCUUCAGCAGCACAUAUACUAAAAAAAAUUGGAAUGAUACAGAGAAGCUUAGCACGGCCUCUGCACAAGGAUGCCACACAAAUUCAUCAAGCAUUCCAUAUUUUG
Molecule: small nuclear RNA, 111 nt
Filed under: Carlito syrichta (Philippine tarsier)
Lineage: Eukaryota; Metazoa; Chordata; Mammalia; Primates; Tarsiidae
Source: RNAcentral